Molecule: ribosomal RNA, 212 nt
Filed under: Metamycoplasma hominis
Lineage: Bacteria; Bacillati; Mycoplasmatota; Mycoplasmoidales; Metamycoplasmataceae
Description: Mycoplasma hominis partial 16S ribosomal RNA
Rfam family: Bacterial small subunit ribosomal RNA
Source: RNAcentral
AGGGAGCAAACCAGAUUAGAUACCCUGGUAGUCCACGCCGUAAACGAUGAUCAUUAGUCGGUGGAGAAUCACUGACGCAGCUAACGCAUUAAAUGAUCCGCCUGAGUAGUAUGCUCGCAAGAGUGAAACUUAAAGGAAUUGACGGGGACCCGCACAAGCGGUGGAGCAUGUGGUUUAAUUUGAAGAUACACGGAAAACCUUACCCACUCUUG